UGGGGUAUGGUGUAAUUGGCAACACGGCUGAUUCAGGUUCAGUUGCUCUUGGUUCGAGUCCAGGUACCCCAG
Molecule: transfer RNA, 72 nt
Filed under: Microbacterium sp.
Lineage: Bacteria; Bacillati; Actinomycetota; Actinomycetes; Micrococcales; Microbacteriaceae
Description: tRNA-Leu
Rfam family: tRNA
About the family: Transfer RNA (tRNA) molecules are approximately 80 nucleotides in length. Their secondary structure includes four short double-helical elements and three loops (D, anti-codon, and T loops).
Source: RNAcentral